AGGGGCUUAGGAUAAUUCUUAAGACCAAGGGCCUUCAAAGCCCUACGUGGGAGUGAAACUCCCCCAGCCCCUG
RNAcentral lists this transfer RNA (73 nucleotides) under Poecilia picta (swamp guppy). RNAcentral describes it as "Micropoecilia picta (swamp guppy) tRNA-Trp". It matches the Rfam family "tRNA". Rfam says of the family: Transfer RNA (tRNA) molecules are approximately 80 nucleotides in length. Their secondary structure includes four short double-helical elements and three loops (D, anti-codon, and T loops). Further hydrogen bonds mediate the characteristic L-shaped molecular structure. tRNAs have two regions of fundamental functional importance: the anti-codon, which is responsible for specific mRNA codon recognition, and the 3' end, to which the tRNAs corresponding amino acid is attached (by aminoacyl-tRNA synthetases). tRNAs cope with the degeneracy of the genetic code in two manners: having more than one tRNA (with a specific anti-codon) for a particular amino acid; and 'wobble' base-pairing, i.e. permitting non-standard base-pairing at the 3rd anti-codon position. Lineage: Eukaryota; Metazoa; Chordata; Actinopteri; Cyprinodontiformes; Poeciliidae. The record is from RNAcentral.